UUUCCCCAGGGUCACAUGAAGCGUGCCUCUCCCUCGCAUUACCUCAGCCUUCUCAUCUGCUCUCUCCCCUUCGUCCCCUGUCGAUCCUUUCUCCGACGAUGUCUUCGCCAAGUUCCUCCUCACUCCCCUGUCAUAAUCACAACAUCAACAUUUCCAAAACGACACCAAGGAGGUUCGAAAUGACGAUGACGAUGAGGACUGCGUGAACAACGGUGUCGUUUCGUUCGCGAAGAUCCUCACUCCCUCCGAUGCCAACAACGACGACGGCUUCUCCGUGCUGCACUUCUGCACCGACUCGUGCUUCCCUUCGCUGGACUUCCGCGCCAAUCCGCCUGUCCAGCUCCUCUCUGUCGCCGACAUCCGCGGCGUCGAGUGGCACUUCCGCCACAUCUAUCACGGCACACCGUGUCGCCACCUCUUCACCACCGGCUGGAGUAAGUUUGUCAACCACAAGAAGCUCGUCGCUAGCAACACCAUCAUUUUCGUCAAGGACUCCAACGGUAGCGUCUCUGUCGGAAUCUGUUGUGUGGCUUGGUUUGUGGCUGCGAUCGAGACUCCGCUGCCUGUAGAACGGGAGGAUUUUCGUGGUCCGCGAUGAGGAGAGUGACUGCGGAGGCCGUGGCGGUAUUUUGAUAAUGCAAUUGUUCCUAAAUUUUAAUUAUGAAAUAUGGAGAAAAGAAACACUCAACUGCACACAUGGGAGUCUUCGAGAUACCAUUGAAGAUUUAAGGCGUUCAUUGCAACCUAAAAAGAGUGCUAUUGAGGCAUUGCAACAAUUAGUUGCAGAAAAGGAACAGAUGUUGGAAGAUAUGAGAAGGUUGCUUCAGGCUGCUGAAGAAAAAAGGCAAGCGGCACUAGCUGAGCUCUCAGCUAAACAUCAAAAGAAUAUACAGAGUUUGGAGGCUCAACUUAAUGAUGCAUUGUUCGACAAAAGUAAGGCAUUUUUUUUCCAUAACAGUGAUGAUUAUGUGUAGGUCAAUUGGUCCUACACCUACACCAGGCCCAGUUAUACCAGAAAACAGCAUCAUUCAAUCCCAAAGGAUUGGUGGACUGAGGAUGUGUCCGAUCUUAACAUAGAUCUUUUCAGUUACUGUUAGUGAAGUAGAGGUCUUGCAUGAACUCUACACGAAGUUGAGAAAUUCAAUUAUUGAAGAUGGUCUUAUUCACAAGCAUGAGAUUUACUAUUGCACCCCUGUUUACCAAUGCUCCUAAUUUUCCAAGAUUCCUAACGGGCAACAUGCUAAGUGGUAAUGUACGUGAGUCAGUCUUGAUGGAUGGAAGCAGUCUGUAUAUUUCUUACUCAGUGAAUUUAACUUUAAUAUUGCAAAACGUAUAUUUUAUUGUUCCAAUGCAAGUGUAUUAUGAGCUGUUGACGUAU
Long non-coding RNA from Glycine soja, 1378 nucleotides. RefSeq lists it as uncharacterized. Lineage: Eukaryota; Viridiplantae; Streptophyta; Magnoliopsida; Fabales; Fabaceae. The record is from RefSeq and is a predicted model, not a curated record. The transcript is spliced from 7 exons.